UCCGGUUUGUCACCGGCAGUCUCCUAUGAGUCCCCGACAUAACUCGCUGGCAACAUAGGACAAGGGUUGCGCUCGUUACGGGACUUAACCCAACAUCUCACGACACGAGCUGACGGCAGCCAUGCACCACCUGUGCACCGGCCCCGAAGGGCUGCCGUAUUUCUACGGCAUUCCAGUGCAUGUCAAGCCUUGGUAAGGUUCUUCGCGUUGCGUCGAAUUGAACCACAUGCUCCGCUGCUUGUGCGGGCCCCCGUCAAUUCCUUUGAGUUUUAGCCUUGCGGCCGUACUUCCCAGGCGGGGCACUUAAUGCGUUAGCUACGGCACGGAACCCGUUGAUAAGGCCCCACACCUAGUGCCCAACGUUUACGGCGUGGACUAC
RNAcentral lists this unclassified non-coding RNA (379 nucleotides) under uncultured Actinomycetes bacterium. RNAcentral describes it as "uncultured actinobacterium contains 16S-23S intergenic spacer region". The record is from RNAcentral. Lineage: Bacteria; Bacillati; Actinomycetota; Actinomycetes.